AAGUCGAACGGGGAUACGAGAGCUUGCUUUUGUAUCUUAGUGGCGGACGGGCGAGUAACGCGUGAGCAACCUGCCCUUCAGUGGGGAAUAACGUCUGGAAACGGACGCUAAUACCGCAUAACACAACGGAGCCGCAUGACUUUGUUGUCAAAGGAUUUAUUCGCUGAAGGAUGGGCUCGCGUCCGAUUAGCUAGAUGGUGAGGUAACGGCCCACCUAGUCUUCGAUGGAUAGGGGUUCUGAGAGGAAGGUCCCCACAUUGGAACUGAGACACGGUCCAAACUCC
This 284-nucleotide ribosomal RNA is filed under the name uncultured bacterium. Its description in RNAcentral is "partial 16S ribosomal RNA". It matches the Rfam family "Bacterial small subunit ribosomal RNA", at positions 59 to 339 of the family's 1533-position model. The record is from RNAcentral.